Molecule: long non-coding RNA, 2588 nt
Organism: Sander lucioperca (pikeperch)
Lineage: Eukaryota; Metazoa; Chordata; Actinopteri; Perciformes; Percidae
Exons: 2
Source: RefSeq, a predicted model, not a curated record
UUACUGAACAAGAGGCAAGAGUAGCAGUAAAACUAGGAAAGAAUUGAAAGCUAAUGGCCUGAUGAUGUUUAAUAAAAGCCAGUGGUGCUGUUUGGUGCAGCGGAGGUGCAGCAGAGGUGCAGCUGGAGGUCCCAACCAUUCAACCAUGUCUGAGCACAGAUAGUAAAACUUCAGUCCUGUAACAGCAAGACUUGCAUCAGUGCUUGAGAUGGUUAGACAAUAAAGUUAAAUUAAACAUAAAUAUUUGAUCAUAAUUCUGGACAUUUGGUUGAUAGGAACAACCAAGCGACUGUUCAUAUAUGUUUUGUUCACUGCAGUUUGACACAUUAAACAGCAUGAGGCCCACACAUAUUAGUCCUUUAUGAAUAAGCUGUGGAGAUGCACCCAGUAGAAGUUUAGUCAGGAUAAAGACACAUGGAGGCAAAGACCCUGAAUAAAGUUAGCUCCAGUUCACCAUCAGCAGCCUGGGCUGGUCUCACACCAGCCAGAACAUUAAUAAACUCAAAGAACAACCUGCUCCCAUUCUGUCCUCUGAGGAUCGCCAGCAUACAACUGUUUGUUUUAUGAGGACUGCUCUUUUCUCACUUUAUUCUAUUAUUCAUGUUCAUCGAUGGGUACUACUCAUACUUAGUCAGGAUGGGAAAUCACAGAUGAAAUUUCUGCUGAAUUCAAAUCUGCGGCUGGUAGGUUUGUCUUCUCCACCACUUUGACAGGAAGCUCCGCAUUUGAAGGAAAGAUCCAGAUGGGUCACUGUGGCCUGUGGACAGAGAUGCCACUUUCCCACCCUGUUUAGUUGAACUUGAGGUUGCACUUGAUUUUGUUUGUGCCAAGUUUGAUUUUGUGUGUGUGUGUGUGUGUGUGUGUGUGUGUGUGUGUGUGUGUGUGUGUGUGUGUGUAUAUAUGAGUGAGACAACCCCCCUAAUGAGUUAUUGAUUUCUUCAUAUAAAGGCAAUAUAGGUACAAAUAAGAUGCAGUCUUUUGCAGCUGAUGAUGCAGUAACUUCCAGAAUCAUUAACAUGCCAACAUGUGAUUUUAAACUGGCCAAAAUAAAAAAAACUUAAUGUAAUGAGCGAUAAUGUACUAGAACCCUAUUAUAACAUUACUUUGUAAGUGUUAUACAAUUUUCAACUCAUGGUUUAUUUAUAACCACAAUUUAUAUUAUUGCUUGAGAUAAAAAAAAAAAAGACCUCUACAGUUCAACAAGCCGAAUACAGUAAUGGCAGUUAAUAUCUCACUGCAUUAUGUUGCUAUUGAUCACAUUAAGAGGUUAUAUUAUACCUACAAUAAGAUUGACGUUUUAUAUUUUUGACAAGUUAUUACACUUUGUGGAAGUUCUGGCUUCAGCUGCUACACGCAAGCAUCACACAAUUAGCAAUAAUGUUUCUAGCAUAGAUGCCUGUUUAUAGUUAAUACAAGUAAUUUGUAGGUAAGGAGACCUCUGUAAAGCCUGUUCUCAUCCAUUUUAAACAGGUUUUUUUUUCUUGACUUCACCAGAUUAUGACAGAAUGCUACCAGCCAUUUAUCAUGCAUAAAGAAAAUGCGAAGGCCAUCAGCUCCUCACGGUUGAAACACUUUGCUUCAAAACAGCCUUAUUAACUAACGUAUGUUUCUGUUGUUUCCAUAUACAUAUAAUAAAGUAAGGCCCAACAUUCCGCCCUGGUAUCUGACCUCUCUAUUGAGAAGUUGUGGGGGCAACAGAGGACGCUUUUUGGGAUUAUUGCACUUACACUUAAGAGUGUAACAGCACAUUUAAGGUAUACUACUGUGCUGUAGUUUACAAUAGAAUGUAAAUUAGACCAUUAAUAUUAUUUUGUAUUAACAGGUUAAAGAAGGAAUCCACCUUAUAUUUGAGACUAUUUAGGGACCUGCUGGUGAUGUAUAUAUUCUGUUCAAAUAUGCCCGUUCAUACCCCUUAUUGGGGGGGAGGGGAUAUCAGAAUACAUUCUGGGAAAUGCUGAAAUCACCAGCUGAAGCACAAAUAGUAGAUGCCGGUUAAGGGAGAUCAAAAAACAAAACAUUGCAAUAAACAAUGUUUGACUAUCAGUGGGUGGAUUCCUCCUUAUGUACACUGGAAUAAGGCCUUUUUAAAACCUGUCACAAGCUACAGCUGAGAGAACGGAGUACCAAAGAUGCACCAGUCAUGCUAAACCCACAUCAACUGGAAAAAAACAUCUGCAUAAUAGUUCAUCUCAAUCAGAUUCUUAAAUUUUAAUGUACGUUUUGAGUUUAACUGCUCAGUCUAAAACAUUUCAGCACUACUCAAAAUACCUCAGAAUAUUUCAUUUAGUUUCAUUGAAGUAUUGGUAAGUGAGAAUUCAAGGCUAUGAUUUUUGUUUCACAAGAAUACAAAUUUGAGAAGAGCAGGUGUUUGUAUGGAAUUUGACAGUGCGCUAAGUUCCUUAUAUAUUUGUAUAGAACUGUUCAACAUUAAAACUCAGUCAUACAGUCACUGCUGUCGUUUUUGUGAGUCAUCCACUACCAGCUGCCUGAGGUUUAUUACGGUAUUGCAGCGAUGCAGUUCGGACACACGAUAUUGUGCCGCACAGUGCCAUCAAUUCAGACUAACACAACCAGCAUGUGCUAUUUUG